AAGAAUGUAGAUUCCUGGCCCCGCAUCACAUCUGCUGAAUUCCAAUCUCGGGAGGUAGGUGGGGCCCAGGAAUCUGCAUUUUUAGCUGUCUC
Molecule: microRNA precursor, 92 nt
Filed under: Echinops telfairi (small Madagascar hedgehog)
Lineage: Eukaryota; Metazoa; Chordata; Mammalia; Afrosoricida; Tenrecidae
Description: miRNA (ENSETEG00000023767.1)
Source: RNAcentral